UCUUCCUUCCACAUUUGAUAUCUUCACAUUCAUGUUUGAAUUCUCUCCCCUAAUCACAUUUAUAUCCUGUCAAAAACCCUUGAUGGCCUCGAUCAAAGUGUUUAAGUUUUCCCCACUUGUGAUAGGAUGGAUCUCAUCUUACGGUUCCAUGGUACCUAUCAACAAGACACUCAAUAAAAAUAAAAAACAAGGUUAACAUUAGUAAAAGCAAAACUCACAACCAAUAGUGUGUUCACACUUUGAUUGCCUCAUAGUAAGCUUAAGUAGAACUUUUCUUAUCCCCAUUGGUAUACAAAGUUAAAAAAAAUUCCUCAUCUUGGCUAAUAUAGGUUCUUGAUAAAAGAAGAAUGUAUGACUCGAUUAAAACUAAAGGACUUGAAUCAAAAAAGUUAACUAAGAAAUAAAAGAUAAAAGAACACAAAGAAAAUGAUAAGAAAAAAAUGGACUCAAGUGUAAUUGAAAGCCAAGUAAGAUCAAUUACUAGUUGAGUAUUAGUUUAGGAAUCAAGAGAAUGAAACUAAGAUGAUAAAGCCUGAGAUUGAUUCGAUAAAAUAAAG
This 557-nucleotide long non-coding RNA is filed under the name Capsicum annuum. Its description in RNAcentral is "long non-coding RNA (CANN_LNC020684)". The record is from RNAcentral. Lineage: Eukaryota; Viridiplantae; Streptophyta; Magnoliopsida; Solanales; Solanaceae.